Molecule: ribosomal RNA, 496 nt
Filed under: uncultured bacterium
Lineage: Bacteria
Description: partial 16S ribosomal RNA
Rfam family: Bacterial small subunit ribosomal RNA
Source: RNAcentral
AUUGAACGCUGGCGGCAUGCCUAACGUAUGCAAGUCGCACGCGAAAGGGGGCAACCCUGAGUAGAGUGGCGGACGGGAGAGUAACGCGUAGGAAUCUACCUGGUAGUGGGGGACAACCCGGUGAAAACCGGGCUAAUACCGCAUACGAUCCACGGAUGAAAGCAGGGGACCGCAAGGCCUUGCGCCAUCAGAUGAGCCUGCGUCGGAUUAGCUAGUUGGUGGGGUAAAGGCCCACCAAGGCGACGAGCCGUAGCUGGUUUGAGAGAACGACCAGCCACACUGGGACUGAGAUACGGCCCAGACGCCUACGGGAGGAAGCAGUGGGGAAUAUUGGACAAUGGGGGCAACCCUGAUCCAGCAAUGCCGCGUGUGUGAAGAAGGCCUUCGGGUUGUAAAGCACUUUCGGUGGGGACAAACAAGGUGGAGCUAACAUCUCCGCCUCUGAUGGUACCCAAAGAAGAAGCACCGGCUAACUCUGUGCCAGCCGCCGCCGUAA